AGCGAACGCUGGCGGCAGGCUUAACACAUGCAAGUCGAGCGGACCUUUCGGGGUCAGCGGCGGACGGGUGAGUAACGCGUGGGAACGUGCCUUCCGGUUCGGAAUAACCCUGGGAAACUAGGGCUAAUACCGGAUACGCCCUUAUGGGGAAAGGUUUACUGCCGGAAGAUCGGCCCGCGUCUGAUUAGCUAGUUGGUGGGGUAACGGCCUACCAAGGCGACGAUCAGUAGCUGGUCUGAGAGGAUGAUCAGCCACACUGGGACUGAGACACGGCCCAGACUCCUACGGGAGGCAGCAGUGGGGAAUACUGGACAAUGGGCGCAAGCCUGAUCCAGCCAUGCCGCGUGAGUGAUGAAGGCCUUAGGGUUGUAAAGCUCUUUUAUCCGGGACGAUAAUGACGGUACCGGAGGAAUAAGCCCCGGCUAACUUCGUG
Molecule: ribosomal RNA, 433 nt
Filed under: uncultured bacterium
Lineage: Bacteria
Description: partial 16S ribosomal RNA
Rfam family: Bacterial small subunit ribosomal RNA
Source: RNAcentral